GAUUUGGUAGCUCAGCUGGUAGAGCAAUACACUUUUAAUGUAUGGGCCCUGGGUUCGAAUCCCAGCCAGAUCA
This 73-nucleotide transfer RNA is filed under the name Chitinophagaceae bacterium. RNAcentral's name for it is "tRNA-Lys". It matches the Rfam family "tRNA". Rfam says of the family: Transfer RNA (tRNA) molecules are approximately 80 nucleotides in length. Their secondary structure includes four short double-helical elements and three loops (D, anti-codon, and T loops). Further hydrogen bonds mediate the characteristic L-shaped molecular structure. tRNAs have two regions of fundamental functional importance: the anti-codon, which is responsible for specific mRNA codon recognition, and the 3' end, to which the tRNAs corresponding amino acid is attached (by aminoacyl-tRNA synthetases). tRNAs cope with the degeneracy of the genetic code in two manners: having more than one tRNA (with a specific anti-codon) for a particular amino acid; and 'wobble' base-pairing, i.e. permitting non-standard base-pairing at the 3rd anti-codon position. Lineage: Bacteria; Pseudomonadati; Bacteroidota; Chitinophagia; Chitinophagales; Chitinophagaceae. RNAcentral also lists the same sequence under 1 other name. The record is from RNAcentral.